GAUGAACGCUGGCGGCGUGCCUAAUACAUGCAAGUAGAACGCUGAAGGAGGAGCUUGCUCUUCUGGAUGAGUUGCGAACGGGUGAGUAACGCGUAGGUAACCUGCCUGGUAGCGGGGGAUAACUAUUGGAAACGAUAGCUAAUACCGCAUGACAACAGUUAUUGCAUGAUAACUGUUUAAAAGGGGCAACUGCUCCACUACCAGAUGGACCUGCGAUGUAUUAGCUAGUUGGUGAGGUAACGGCUCACCAAGGCGACGAUACAUAGCCGACCUGAGAGGGGGAUCGGCCACACUGGGACUGAGACACGGCCCAGACUCCUACGGGAGGCAGCAGUAGGGAAUCUUCGGCAAUGGACGGAAGUCUGACCGAGCAACGCCGCGUGAGUGAAGAAGGUUUUCGGAUCGUAAAGCUCUGUUGUAAGAGAAGAACGAGUGUGAGAGUGGAAAGUUCACACUGUGACGGUAUCUUACCAGAAAGGGACGGCUAACUACGUG
This 495-nucleotide ribosomal RNA is filed under the name uncultured bacterium. Its description in RNAcentral is "partial 16S ribosomal RNA". It matches the Rfam family "Bacterial small subunit ribosomal RNA", at positions 28 to 507 of the family's 1533-position model. The record is from RNAcentral.